RNAcentral lists this ribosomal RNA (547 nucleotides) under uncultured bacterium. Its description in RNAcentral is "bacterial SSU rRNA". It matches the Rfam family "Bacterial small subunit ribosomal RNA", at positions 355 to 894 of the family's 1533-position model. The record is from RNAcentral.
UAGGGAAUCUUCGGCAAUGGGGGCAACCCUGACCGAGCAACGCCGCGUGAGUGAAGAAGGUUUUCGGAUCGUAAAGCUCUGUUGUAAGUCAAGAACGAGUGUGAGAGUGGAAAGUUCACACUGUGACGGUAGCUUACCAGAAAGGGACGGCUAACUACGUGCCAGCAGCCGCGGUAAUACGUAGGUCCCGAGCGUUGUCCGGAUUUAUUGGGCGUAAAGCGAGCGCAGGCGGUUUGAUAAGUCUGAAGUUAAAGGCUGUGGCUCAACCAUAGUUCGCUUUGGAAACUGUCAAACUUGAGUGCAGAAGGGGAGAGUGGAAUUCCAUGUGUAGCGGUGAAAUGCGUAGAUAUAUGGAGGAACACCGGUGGCGAAAGCGGCUCUCUGGUCUGUAACUGACGCUGAGGCUCGAAAGCGUGGGGAGCGAACAGGAUUAGAUACCCUGGUAGUCCACGCCGUANCGAUGAGUGCUAGGUGUUGGAUCCUUUCCGGGAUUCAGUGCCGCAGCUAACGCAUUANCACUCCGCCUGGGGGAGUACGACCGCAAGGU